CAGAUGCCAGAAAUCCCAUAUCUGGUUUCCUUAGACUUAAGACCUGGAGUCUUCAGUGCACAGUCAGCUUCAGAUUGACAACCCAGGAGCCUUGCUGCAUAAUAAAAAGAAAGCCAUAGCUAUGCGAACCAGACGAAGUGGAUUCAGCCCAGGAAUCUGGCCAAACUCCAGGGCCGCCUAUCAUGAGCAGCCUUGUUUGCUUACAAUUUGCGGAGUUGCAAAGGGUAAAGGACUGGCUUUGACUAUUCAGUCUUUCAGGAAAACUUGAUCCAGUCGGCUAUAUUCUUGGACUGGCAAAACUGUAAUGUUGAGUGCUUCUACCAACUGAUAACCUAUGAGAAAUCAAGACAGAGCUGCUCUGGGAUGACUAUGCACAUUGAAGGAGUCGCUGGAAAGGCAGCAGAGAGGGCAUGGAGACAGACACAUCUGGAUGAGAAACUCCAGCUCCACCCACUUAACAGCUGUGUGAUCUUGGAUGUGCCAGUUACUCUCUUGCCUCAGUUCGUUCAUCUGUGAAAUGGAGCAAACAUCACAUCCCUGGUGGUUGUGAAGAUUAACCACGAUCAUGUGUAUGUGGCAGGUACUGUACUGUUACCUACCUGUUAUCCCUUAAGUCACGGGUGAAGGUUUGAAAACACUUGUGAAAGAGGGUGGUGUCAGCUGAUGUAUACAUUUCUCUGUUUAUCUUUCAUUUUUCUUACUGUUCAAGUGAAAUGCCAGAAGGUUGAGCUUCAGUCUGGUGACCAGGAGGGCAAGGGGCACAUGCUAGAAAUAGAAGACAAUGGUGCCUUGGUCCCUAUUGGUAGAUUGAAUGAUUUGUUCAAAACAUAUUCACGGUGCCUUUCUGCAGGACCCCAGCUCCUGCCACUUCACGGGAGAGGAGAGCACUCCCAUGCCAUUCAAUCAGGCAUGGCCGUGUGUCUUGCAUUAGCCAGUGGGAUGUGAGCAGAAGUGACUAUGCCCUGCUUCAGAAGAAGUUCAGUGCCAUCCCAUGAUUUUACUUUUCCUUUGACAUGAGGCUGCAAGUCCCAGAGAGGGGCUGCUCCUUCUGCUUGGACCUCAGAAAGAAGAUAAUAGGGGGAGAACUGCAGCUGACUUGUGAAGGGCAUUUAAUGGGAGCAAACAGACCUUUGAGAUUUGGGGUUAGUCCUUAUGGCAGCACAGCUGGGAAAGCUGACUAAUUAGUAGCAUCGCUGAUGGCGUACUGGGGCUGCCACACUAGCUCUCACUGCUUUUACCUCCAGACUUCUUACUACAUGAGGAAAAACAACUCCUACUUGGCUAAGCUACCAUUUUUUUGUGACUGUGGUCAUGAUAUCCAGUAUCAUGAAAGUACCAGGCAUAUUCGCACUUAAUAAAUUAAUGUCAGCUAUUAUUAGGGUAAUAUACAGACAUGUAUUUUAGAAAAUACUCAACUUGUGCAGUCUACAUUUAUGAGAUAAAUUGAUGGUGGAUUUUUAAAAUGAAAUUCUGCUUUGUUAAUAACCUAAUGAAUUCACUUAUUUUUAUUUAAAAAUUGAACAAUACAAAACGUCGUAAAGUGAA
Symphalangus syndactylus (siamang) is the source of this 1545-nucleotide long non-coding RNA. RefSeq lists it as uncharacterized. The record is from RefSeq and is a predicted model, not a curated record. Lineage: Eukaryota; Metazoa; Chordata; Mammalia; Primates; Hylobatidae.